GACGAACGCUGGCGGCGUGCUUAACACAUGCAAGUCGAACGGAAAGGCCCUGCUUUUGUGGGGUGCUCGAGUGGCGAACGGGUGAGUAACACGUGAGUAACCUGCCCUUGACUUUGGGAUAACUUCAGGAAACUGGGGCUAAUACCGGAUAGGAGCUCCUGCUGCAUGGUGGGGGUUGGAAAGUUUCGGCGGUUGGGGAUGGACUCGCGGCUUAUCAGCUUGUUGGUGGGGUAGUGGCUUACCAAGGCUUUGACGGGUAGCCGGCCUGAGAGGGUGACCGGCCACAUUGGGACUGAGAUACGGCCCAGACUCCUACGGGAGGCAGCAGUGGGGAAUAUUGCACAAUGGGCGGAAGCCUGAUGCAGCAACGCCGCGUGCGGGAUGACGGCCUUCGGGUUGUAAACCGCUUUCGCCUGUGACGAAGCGUGAGUGACGGUAAUGGGUAAAGAAGCACCGGCUAACUACGUGCCAGCAGCCGCGGUGAUACGUAGGGUGCGAGCGUUGUCCGGAUUUAUUGGGCGUAAAGGGCUCGUAGGUGGUUGAUCGCGUCGGAAGUGUAAUCUUGGGGCUUAACCCUGAGCGUGCUUUCGAUACGGGUUGACUUGAGGAAGGUAGGGGAGAAUGGAAUUCCUGGUGGAGCGGUGGAAUGCGCAGAUAUCAGGAGGAACACCAGUGGCGAAGGCGGUUCUCUGGGCCUUUUCCUGACGCUGAGGAGCGAAAGCGUGGGGAGCGAACAGGCUUAGAUACCCUGGUAGUCCACGCUGUAAACGGUGGGUACUAGGUGUGGGGUCCAUUCCACGGGUUCCGUGCCGUAGCUAACGCUUUAAGUACCCCGCCUGGGGAGUACGGCCGCAAGGCUAAAACUCAAAGGAAUUGACGGGGCCCCGCACAAGCGGCGGAGCAUGCGGAUUAAUUCGAUGCAACGCGUAGAACCUUACCUGGGUUUGACAUGGAUCGGGAGUGCUCAGAGAUGGGUGUGCCUCUUUUGGGGUCGGUUCACAGGUGGUGCAUGGCUGUCGUCAGCUCGUGUCGUGAGAUGUUGGGUUAAGUCCCGCAACGAGCGCAACCCUUGUUCACUGUUGCCAGCACGUUAUGGUGGGGACUCAGUGGAGACCGCCGGGGUCAACUCGGAGGAAGGUGGGGAUGACGUCAAGUCAUCAUGCCCCUUAUGUCCAGGGCUUCACGCAUGCUACAAUGGCUGGUACAGAGAGUGGCGAGCCUGUGAGGGUGAGCGAAUCUCGGAAAGCCGGUCUCAGUUCGGAUUGGGGUCUGCAACUCGACCUCAUGAAGUCGGAGUCGCUAGUAGUCGCAGAUCAGCAACGCUGCGGUGAAUACGUUCCCGGG
Molecule: ribosomal RNA, 1344 nt
Filed under: uncultured bacterium
Lineage: Bacteria
Description: 16S ribosomal RNA
Rfam family: Bacterial small subunit ribosomal RNA
Source: RNAcentral